Molecule: ribosomal RNA, 852 nt
Filed under: Ganula sp. 3 MTN-2017
Lineage: Eukaryota; Metazoa; Mollusca; Gastropoda; Stylommatophora; Hygromiidae
Description: partial 16S ribosomal RNA
Source: RNAcentral
AUAUAUUAUAUUAUAUUAAAAAAUUAAUAUCCCGAAGCCAUACGAGCUAAAAAAUUAAUUAUAAUAGUAAUUUAAUUAAAUGUAGCAUUAUUUAACUAAAAUUAUUUUUUAGGGGUGACAGGCCUUUCAAGUUUGACGAUAUCUGGAUAAUUAGGAAAAAUAUUUAGUAUAUUUCUAAUUUAGAAAUGCUAAGGUUUCUAAAAAAUAUUAUUAGCAUUUAAUUAUUUACUUUAAUGGUUAAAUUCUUAAACUUUAAUGAUAUUAACAUAUUAUAUAUAAAGAAUAUAUUUAUUACUAAUUUUUUUUUGCAAAUUUUUGCAAAAAUUGAAAUUGUAUAUAUCAGUAUGCUAAUAAUAUUUUUGGAAGGAACUCGACAAAUAUAUUUCUGGACUGUUUAUCAAAAACAUAGCCCUAAGAAUUUAUUUUGGGUGAUACCUGCUCAAUGAAUUUUUUUAAAUAGCCGCAGUACCUUGACUGUGCAAAGGUAGCAUAAUCAGUUGGCUUAUAAUUGAAGUCUGGCAUGAAUGGAUCUACUGGAAAAAAUUGUCUACUAAAAAUAAAUUGAAGUUACUUAAUAAGUGAAAAUUCUUAUGUAUAUAUAAAAGACGAGAAGACCCUAGAAAUUUUUUAUAAAUGAAUAUAUAAAUAUUUUGUUGGGGCGACAAGGUAACAAAUAACUUACCUAUUUUUUUGAAUUUUAUUUAAAGAGUAAUUAAAUUACUCUAGGGAUAACAGCAUUAUUUAUUAAAAAGUUUGUGACCUCGAUGUUGGACUAGGAAAAUUUUUAUUUAGAAGAUAAAAGUAUAGGCUCUGUUCGAGCUUCUUUUCCUACAUGAUCUGAGUUCAGACCGG